ACGGGUGAUCGUAGCGGCACAGGUAGUUUAGUUAAACAUAUAAAAUUACACCCUAGCGAUAAGGCUAGAUUUUUUCAAUUGAAAGCGCAACAAGAGGUAGGACAAGUGUUGCUACAACAGUUAACCCAAGUACUGGUUCAAAUGUAGUUCAACCAGGAAUCAACACAGUCACGGGGGUAUAUUGUAUUACGAUCCAAAUAAGGAUCGUGAAGAACUAGCUAAAAUGAUUAUUGUUAUGUGUUUGCCUUAUUCUUUUGCUUCUAAUCCUGCUUGGAUUCAUUAUAUUAGAAGAGUAUUUAAUCCUACAU
This 308-nucleotide long non-coding RNA is filed under the name Nicotiana benthamiana. RNAcentral describes it as "long non-coding RNA (NBEN_LNC016668)". Lineage: Eukaryota; Viridiplantae; Streptophyta; Magnoliopsida; Solanales; Solanaceae. The record is from RNAcentral.